UAAGAAAAUGAAAAUGUUCAUAGUUCCUAUGAAAUUUUUUUUAAAAAAAUCAUGUUCAGAAGAGUCAUUUGAUCUCUACUAUAAGAUGGCUGAUAAGUGGGGUCUUAUCUCUAUUUAGAUAUGUUCAGUUUCUGAACUGCAAUCUGCCACUAGAGGAUGAUACAUAUGAGUACUUUUUAAAUAUGAAAUAUUAAAUCAUAACAUGAACUUACCAUAUGCUAUCUGAAUGAUAAUUCUUAAGCAGGCAGAACCAUCCCAUUUACAUACUAGACUAGAGGAAGGUUUAAGUUUUUUUUUAAAAAAAAUCAAAUAGCUAAGAAAAAUAAUAGCCAAGUAAAAAAGAAUUUAAGGUGAUGGGACACAAAAAAGACCAAUUGUUGAAGGAGGAAACAAAACCUAAAGGUGGGGGAUGGAGGUGUAGGCAGAUUUCAACCCAAAACAAAUUCCACAGUGCUACUUUUCCUCACAAGAUCUAUUUAUACACAUGCAGUAGGGAUUUCGGGAGGAAUGGACAUGAUGAUAAAAAUUGACAUUUAUAAAUCAUAAUGCAACUUCCCUUUAGUGUUUCUACUUUCUGCCUUGUUAUUGAGAAUGUUUUUUUACAGUUUCUACUUUCAUGUAACAAUAGUUCACUUUUUAACAACUUAUAUCAUUGUUUUAUUUCAUCUAAAUAUGUUGCUUUUUCUGCCCAGCAUUUCUUGAUGUCUAUUUUCAGAAAACUCAAAGUAUACAUAAAGUGUAUCAGUAAUAUUUGGAUUGUAUAGGUUGCUUUUAAGUGGACUUGGUUUUGUGGUUUGCUGUUACUUUUUCUGCUGAUAAGGAUCUGGCAAAAGAGUAGUUUGUUGUUUCCUUCUUUGAUGAAUUUGAUUCCAGCACACACCCCAACCAGCAGCCCCAUUACACAGCUAUCAACACCAUCAACCUUACAAGAAGCCACCAACACAAUGAGCCAUGAUCUUAUCAAUCCAAGUAAAUAAUCAGCAUGGAGCUAUCAAUCAUCUGCAAAAUAACAUCUGUCUAGAGGAUCAUCCCCUGCAAGCAUUCAGAAAAUUCAUCCAACACUGCAGGGACCACUCCAAAGAAAGGAAAAGUCUGUCAAGAAAUAUUUUUAGAAAUAUUUUAAAGAUCAAAUCUAAGUAUACGGCAGAUAGCAGCUAGACUUGAAAGAAAGAAAGAAACUUCAACCCAGAGCUGAAGACAUCCCCAUCUCUAAUAGGAAUGGCAAUCUUGUUCAAUCUGGAGGCUUCAAAGAAGAUUGCUGGAAUGUAUAGCUGAAACAGGUGAAAGAUAUUCAGUCAUUUUUUAAUGUGGUUGAAACAAGUUUAAAGAAGAAACUGGGUACUUAAGCUUUGCAGAAGCUUGCCAAAGAAAAUAGAGCUGGAAACACCAAGAAAGCUAUAGGUGGCUUGCAGCCUACCUAUGCAAUUCUAUAAACAGAUUUCCAAGAAUUUCUUUUUAAAACAACUUAUAUAGCUUUAACAUUAAGUUCAAAGUUUCUGGUUGGAUUUCAGUCUGGAUUUCAAGAAUUAAAUCUUUUUUGUUUAAAGACUACUCAUUCAGUUAAUUUUUUUAUAUGGCUACUAAUUUUGUAAAUGUGGCUGUGGGUGGCCAACAAAAUUUUAAAACCAUACAACCAAAGAAUUAAAAACAAACAAAACAUGAAACAAGCUUGCUAUGGCAAGUGAGAAAAACAGCAACCAUACCACUUGUGCUCAACUAACUGACCACAUGGGUAAAGAGAACUGAAGAAAGAUGGCCCCUAAAACAACCCAUGAAAUAGUUUACAUGUAUUUAUGAUAAAAAUUAGGACCGGAAUUUCCAAUGCUAAGCAAUGCGAUCAUAAAACAUAAUUGCAUUGCCUCACAAAGACAAUUCCUGCAUACUGAUUGCCAUGAUUAACUGAAUCCCACAUUGUGAGGCAGCUUUCCCCCAGCUUCCCACAGCCAACUCAAUGGGGAAGCCAGCAGGAAAUUGCAAGUCCCUGAUGGCUCGUUGGCAGGUAGAUAAGUGGCUGCUGGCAGGUUGGGAAGAGCACAAGAGGGUGUGCAAGGAGACAAAGAAGGCUCAGGGAAAGUCUGCAGGGAGUGAGAUUUAGCAACGGUCAGGGAGGGUGCAAAAGAAGUAGGUAAGGGUCAUAGAGAAUGCACAUGGGGGCACAGGAGUGUGCGGUAAAGCUUGGAACUGUGUGUGAGGGUUCAUGGAACUGUGUGAGGGUGCAAUGGAGAUGCA
Molecule: long non-coding RNA, 2229 nt
Organism: Crotalus tigris (Tiger rattlesnake)
Lineage: Eukaryota; Metazoa; Chordata; Lepidosauria; Squamata; Viperidae
Exons: 2
Source: RefSeq, a predicted model, not a curated record